GAACACACGCAAUUGAAAGAAAGAAUAAUUACUAAAUUCUUUAAUUCUGCUCCGUAAAAACGAUUUUCAUUCGAUGCAUAUCGUUUUUUGCUAACAAGACAGAGAGUGCAAGAAAUAAAGGAUGAAGGGCCGAAGAAAAUUAAAGAGACGAGGAAACUCCCGAUUACGACAAAAAAUUGCAAAUACCGAGGAUAAAGGAUUUCGAGACCGAGUCCUUAGCGGUGCAUGGAGAUCUGGCCCGACCGUCGGCUGAAACAGACUGCGACUGAGGUCUGAGGCGGCAGCAGCAGCAGCGCGACGACCGCCGAUCGUUUGCUGUCCAUCCGUCGGUGUUUCCACACCUUGCGUUAUACGGCCAAGAAAAGGACAGUAGAGGUCAAGGAUUCGGGGAAUUUUGCAUCGGCAUUCGAGGGUCUGAGGCUGAGUACCGAUUCCAUAUUGCAAGACAGGUUUAAGUCGAAAUGCAA
Molecule: long non-coding RNA, 467 nt
Filed under: Neodiprion pinetum (white pine sawfly)
Lineage: Eukaryota; Metazoa; Arthropoda; Insecta; Hymenoptera; Diprionidae
Description: uncharacterized LOC124220345
Source: RNAcentral